RNAcentral lists this non-coding RNA (88 nucleotides) under alpha proteobacterium HIMB114. RNAcentral's name for it is "TPP riboswitch aptamer (THI element)". It matches the Rfam family "TPP riboswitch aptamer (THI element)". Rfam says of the family: Vitamin B(1) in its active form thiamin pyrophosphate (TPP) is an essential coenzyme that is synthesised by coupling of pyrimidine and thiazole moieties in bacteria. The previously detected thiamin-regulatory element, thi box was extended, resulting in a new, highly conserved RNA secondary structure, the THI element, which is widely distributed in eubacteria and also occurs in some archaea. Analysis of operon structures identified a large number of new candidate thiamin-regulated genes, mostly transporters, in various prokaryotic organisms. Lineage: Bacteria; Pseudomonadati; Pseudomonadota; Alphaproteobacteria; Candidatus Pelagibacterales; Candidatus Pelagibacteraceae. The record is from Rfam by way of RNAcentral.
AUUAGUUUUCAGGGGCGGCUUAGCCUGAGAUGAACCCUUUAAACCUGAUCCAGAUAAUGCUGGCGGAGGAAGAAAACAUAUGAACACG